Molecule: ribosomal RNA, 497 nt
Filed under: uncultured bacterium
Lineage: Bacteria
Description: partial 16S ribosomal RNA
Rfam family: Bacterial small subunit ribosomal RNA
Source: RNAcentral
GAUGAACGCUGGCGGCGUGCCUAAUACAUGCAAGUCGAGCGAACGGACGAGAAGCUUGCUUCUCUGAUGUUAGCGGCGGACGGGUGAGUAACACGUGGAUAACCUACCUAUAAGACUGGGAUAACUUCGGGAAACCGGAGCUAAUACCGGAUAAUAUUUUGAACCGCAUGGUUCAAUAGUGAAAGACGGUCUUGCUGUCACUUUUAGAUGGAUCCGCGCUGCAUUAGCUAGUUGGUAAGGUAACGGCUUACCAAGGCGACGAUGCGUAGCCGACGUGAGAGAGUGAUCGGCCACACUGGAGCUGGGACGCGGUCCAGAGUCCUACGAGAGGCAGCAGUAGGGAAUCGUCCGCAAUGGGCGGAAGCCUGACGGAGCAAGGCGGCGUGAGUGAUGACGGUGUUCGGAUCGUAAAACUCGGUUAUGAGGGAUGAACAGAUGUGGAAGGAACUGUGGAGAGCUUGACGGUACCGAAUCAGAAAGCCACGGCUAACUACGUG